This 103-nucleotide non-coding RNA is filed under the name Thermoanaerobacter pseudethanolicus ATCC 33223. RNAcentral's name for it is "TPP riboswitch aptamer (THI element)". It matches the Rfam family "TPP riboswitch aptamer (THI element)". From Rfam's summary of the family: Vitamin B(1) in its active form thiamin pyrophosphate (TPP) is an essential coenzyme that is synthesised by coupling of pyrimidine and thiazole moieties in bacteria. Lineage: Bacteria; Bacillati; Bacillota; Clostridia; Thermoanaerobacterales; Thermoanaerobacteraceae. The record is from Rfam by way of RNAcentral.
GACAAGUGCUAGGGGAGCCAAAAAGUGGCUGAGAGGGGAUUCGUUCCCGACCCUUUGAACCUGUCAGGGUAAUGCCUGCGUAGGGAAGCAUGCUUUUUAAAAC